Molecule: long non-coding RNA, 2864 nt
Organism: Lutra lutra (Eurasian river otter)
Lineage: Eukaryota; Metazoa; Chordata; Mammalia; Carnivora; Mustelidae
Exons: 3
Source: RefSeq, a predicted model, not a curated record
GAGGCUUUAGUAAAAGAGGAUAUUUGUUUUCCUGCGUUAUUCCCAACGUACUACAAUUCCAUUCCAUCCCUGUUGAAGAUGAGAGCGCAGCGUGGACAUGAGUUUCAGCUAUCUGGCAAGUGCUGGGUACGUAGAUGAGCUCUGUGUCUGGGAGUCCUCUGAAUGUCCGCUGAUUCCACGCCAGACCCUGGACCUGGACCAUUUCAGAAUACCAAGGAAAACAAAAUGCCCCUGAGGACCUUUGAUUUGUGGAGACCAGACCUGCCUGAGUCUGCCAGGACAUGGUGAUUGUAAGCAGCAGAGGGCUGGUAGGAGCUGACAAGUCCAAGAAAGAAUGGGAGAUAUUCUGAGUGAAAGACAUGUUUGCUUAGCACCCAUCCACCAUUCUGUGAAAAUCCAGGGCCAUCCGUGUGGAUUACGAGGGACUAAUUCUGCUCUGGAUCCAUGGAUGUGCACAGGACCCAGGACUGGUGCAUCAGAGCACUCCAUCUCCUUACCCACGGGGAUUAGGGGAGAGGUGGGCACAUGAGCCAAGCGUGGACACUGAGAACACUCCAUCCUUUGACUAUAGAGACUGGUUCCUGGGAUGCUAAACCAAACCAUUCCUGAAACUUCUCUAAGCCAUCUGAAAGUCUGUGUUCCCCUUCCUCUGAGAUAACAAGUUAGAAAAUGUGAAAUAACCUUGGGGCUUCUGGUAACCAUCUUUGGAAAGAUAUGGAACAUCUUUAUAUGGGUAUAACACCACUAUAGAUAGAAAAUGAGCCAUGAGAUGAAGAAAAAGAGAGUUCCCUCAUGAUUAGAACCCUCAAUCCAGAUUCCCAGUUACUUGAGCCAGUAAAUUUCCUUGUUUGUUUAAGGUAGUGUAGAUUGGGUUUCCAUCACUUGCAACCAAAAGAAUCAUGGCUAAUACACCUGACCCAUGAGAAAUGAACAGAAAGGUCUUAGUGGGUGGGAAAAACCAAAUACCUUGGUUUCCAAUAAUGAUUAUUUUAAAAUGCCCUAACAUUUUAAUACCUACCUACCUUGUUACCUUCUGUAAAAAAGAUUAAUGGUAAAUGGCCUUUAGAUUUGGCCUGGGGAAGGUGAUUUGGUUUGACUAUUUGCCUAACUUUCUUUUCUGAUUGUGUCUUUAGUUACUAAUUAAGGAUCUGUGGUCAGAUAGGUUUUUAAAAAAAUGCAUUCCUUAGUUAACUUUUUACAGGCUGUGAAUUUAUAAAAUUUUCUGAAUACAUAGAAGCAUAUUUAUCUGUUAAACUUUCUCUGAACCAGUUCUUAGAACAAACUUUCUCUCAUAUGUUGUCAGUUGAUUUUUAAAAGCCAACUUCUCAGCACAGUACAUGUAUCAGGACCACAGAGUUGAAUCUGAAGAAAUAAAAGAAAUAAGGGUAUUGCUCAUAAGGCCGGUCAUUCCAGCACUGGCACAGUCGAAUUCAGAGAGUAAAAGAAUCUGGGUAAAUGAUUAUAUAACCAAACUAAAAGACUUCUCUUCAAUCUGAGUGUGUUUGUUUCUGUUUUGGAUGAUUAUUUAAGAGUGACAUGGUUUCCCUCUGGCCACUGUCUUUAUUUUCUUUGGAUCUUUAUUCAUUGUGUGUGACAUGUACUGCCUAGGACCCUGAAGUUGCUGAAUGUCUUACAAGGAACCAGCUCCAAAGGACCCACUUGCCAGUGCAAACACGUCCGACAGGUUUAGUGACCCUGCUGUGCAUAUAAGUAGCUGAACCGGCCAAGCCCGGGCUCUUCCUUGGUAUACAACCAAGCCCAGGGUUAUUUCUGGUUAUUUCGUCCUGAAUUUUGCUUCCAGGCUCUUUUCCAAACUCCCCUAUCCAAGACUAUCAGUCAAUUUAUGCCCUCUUUCCUUCUUUCACAAAUGUUUAUUGGGGUCUAUGCCUGGGGUUCUAGAAAUGAGUAAGUCUCUGUUUCUUUCUUGAUGGAGUUUCUGGUCCUUUCAGGAAGACGGGUGUAUCAGUGCAUUUAUAACGUCCCCUGAAGGUGUACUGUGGGCUCUCAGAUCAUGGAGGAGGGGAGUUCUUUGAGAUAGAUAUUUUCUCUCUUACAUAUAUUUUCUUGAUGAGUAUGCUAGUGUGCAACUCCCUCCCUUGGAAAUGGUCCUUUUUCAAAACGCUUCUAAAUAAAAGAAAAUAUCAGUUCCUAGCUCUAUGUGCUGGAUAACUAUAAUGCAACUACCAGUUUCCUUACUUUUGAUUUGGAAAUUUUUCAAAUGUCCAGAAAAUUCAGAAGAACAUUAUAAUGAAAGUCUAGUAACUCUUUACCUGGAUUCUCUGUUAACAUUUCCCCCAUAUUUGUUUUACCUUCUCUCUUAGUCUCUCUGUAGUUUGCUGAACUAUUUGAAAGCUGCAGAUAUCAGAGUACUUCUAUCAUAAAAAAAUUCAAAAAUAUUUGCCUAAGAAUAAGGACAUCCUCUUAUAACAACCCAAUAUGAUAAUCACAUCUAAGAAAUUUAACAAUUCUGUAACAUAAUGUACAAUCCACAUUCAGAUCUACCCAGUUGUCUCAAAAAUAUCUUUUAUAGCUGUUCAUUUUUUAAAAAUCCAGUAUAUAAUUGAGGUUUUUAUCUUCUUAGUCUCUAAUCUGGAAUAGUCCUCACCUUUUACUGUUUUUCAUGUUAUUGUGUGUUGGACAGGUUCAGUCCACUUGUAGAAUAUCCCAAAGAUUCCAUUUAUUUGAUGGUUUCUUCAUUAUUCAUUUCCAGUUUAAAAAUAUUGGCAAGAGGGGGCCCUUGACUGGCUUAAUCGGUACACCAUGUGGCUCUUGAUCUUGGGGUCAUGAGCUCAAGCCUCACGUUGGGUGUAAAGAUUAAAUAAAAAUAUUGGCAAAAGAACCAUGGGUCAUUUGAAUAGGUUUUU